ACCGAGAACUAAGAUGAUUUUAAUGGCUGAAAGUAAUCGUUAAUGUGACUAACUUAGGUUUGAGAGAUGAAUAGAACAUUCUUAACCUCACAGCACCUAUAACUGAUGAAGGGUGGGCUAGUACCAGCAAAGGACGCAUACGACAGAAAUUACCACAAAGGGUGGUUAGGAAUUGCGCCCUGGGGUUAUUGGUCUAACCAGUUCGAGUUAGUCAUCAGAGGCCAGGUAUAGGAGGCUAAAGUAGGCACAGGAGGAGUUUUGACCAGGAUGGGAGUAGCUUUACAAGAUGGAUGCUAUUGGCAUCCUCAGGGAAGUUCCAGAUGAAUACAAAGCUAUGAAUCAAAUAUGUGAAGGCUUUUACACUACAUUAUUUUGGUAGUUGACAAUAAAUAAUAAUGUGGAUUGAAUUAAUGACAUAUUUUAAUCAACAGAGAUUCAUGAAUGAAACAGGGGAUGCAGUAAAGAGGUUCUCUGACCAAUUAUCCGCCACCUCCCUCAUGACCUGGUAAAAUAGACUGACUCUCGAUAGGUUACGGGCAAAGAAGAUGGUGUAGGUAGAAUGAUUAGGUUCAUUGCUGUACGUACAUUUUUGAUAACACAGCUCAUGUUUGGGAAAUGGAAAAGUGUUGCAAGAACUGUAUUAUGGGCUGCUUUCACCUGUAUGAGUGUGUUUGGGUUGUGUGGUUGUUGUUUGGUCCCGUGUGCAAGAGGUUUAAUCACCAGAACUCUAGAGAGAUGAUAACGGAGUACGGACCGAGUCAAAGUUCAGAUCAAUGAGAUGACAAGUACCUACCGCCGAGCAAGAUUGUUCUUUUUUGUCACGUCUUGCAGACGUGAAGAGGGGGAUUUGUAAUAAAGAUAAUCUAACGUUUUACCUAAUGAUAUAUAAGGAGGGCAUUUGCACAACAUGUUUCACAACAGCACACAACAAAAUUCCAGAGACAUAUUGAGCAACCAACUGAUACCAAUCACGACCACACCCAGAGACUGAUGGCGGACUAAGCACUCACACAAAAAUGUCAAGACAUGAAAGCACCCUAGCCACACGAACUGACCACUGGUGUAAAGAACAACAUUCCAUGAAUAUCGCAAGCACCCAGACACGAAUUACCAGAAAUACACACACACACACACACACACACACUUAGGUGUGUUGGACUCCGAGGACAAAGGACACUGCCAAGGGCCAAUGGGAAGUCGACACCACCUGGA
This 1212-nucleotide long non-coding RNA is filed under the name Salmo salar (Atlantic salmon). Its description in RNAcentral is "lncRNA (ENSSSAG00000100641.1)". The record is from RNAcentral. Lineage: Eukaryota; Metazoa; Chordata; Actinopteri; Salmoniformes; Salmonidae.